UAAAGCAGCUACGGUGUUUCUAGGUCACCAGAGAUGGAGGUUAAGCAGCUUACAAACCCGGGAGGCUUAUUCUGUGAAACGCUGGCUUUCCCCAGACCGGCAGAAAGAGGAGCUGUGUCAUGCAGCGCUGCUGGCCGUGACAUCGAGAUGUCUCACUCGCAGGAUGCCAAGGCAGGUCCGUCACGGUGGAGGUGGGGAGCUUGGCCAUCAUGCCAGCACUUUCCCACCUCUGUUUCAUGAUGCUGUGACCUAGGGGUGCUCGUGCCGCUAAGCUGGGGACCUGCAGUCUCCCUAAAUAGAUGGAGAGAGUCCACAAACCAGGCAGAUGCCCAGCCCAUGUGUUCUGCAUCUCCGUACCCCGACCUUGCUGCUCCCCUGGGUCCUUCUGAUCGUGGUUAGGUGCUGGUUGAUCUCAAUGGCUGCUAGGUGCAGAGCAGCUCAUUGCUCCCCGGAGCCGUCUCACGGCCGUGUUUGCUUCCUUGUGCAGCUCCAAGAAGCCACAGGAGGGACGUCUGCGAGGCGUCCUGGCUGCAGCAGGCUCCCCGAGGAGCCAUCACCUCCCGUGCUGAGAGGCGAGGACAGGGCUUUGUUCUGUGAUUUGCUGCAUCCGGAUUCAGGCAAAAUCCCUGCAAGUGGCUGGGGAUGUGACCUAUCUGAAUAAUUUGUUGUUGUUGUUUUUUUGGGGAGGAGAAAAAGGUGGCCUUUUCCCCAGCUGAGACUCUCCUGCACGCAUGAGCAAUUCUGAAAUAAAGGCCCUGAAUCCCAUUCUGCAAGGGCUGUUCGCUUUACACCUUAAUUGCUUAAUUAAGCUGUCUUGAUCCAGGUAAUUAUUGCAAACUUUCUAUCUGAGAAAGGUUUGCCAAGCUAAGCAAGAAUUGCUUAAACAUUCCUGCCUUUGAGAGAGCUGCCUGCCCUUCAUUUCCUUCUGCUUGUUGCAAGCAGUCCCUCCAAGCUGGCCAUCCCUUUCGAACUGGUUGUGCUUCACCCGGGCCUUGGUCGAUGUGUCACCCCCAAUGCAGCACCCAUGGGUGCCCAGGGACUGCAGCAAGCAGUGGGACAGAAAGGGCAGGCAGCACCCAGCCAGCUCCGCCCGCGCCUGCGGGGAUAGCAAGGCACUUCACCAGCAAUAAAAAUAGAUCUAAGAGCUCGUCAGCAAAAUUGUAUUAAAAUACCCACAGAAAAGGCGCAAUACAUAUUCAUCUGCUGCUCGUCAGGAGCGUGCUGGGUCAUGCUUCAAGCACAGAUCAAAAAAAAAAAAAAAAGAAGCUUGUGCAGGAGCUGCUUGCCACGCUGAACAAAAACAGCGAUCCCUGAGUCGAGCUGAGCAGGGAUGGGGUCGGCAGUGCCUCGGACGCCCCUGGCACGCUGCAAGGCUGCGGGCACCACCUGGCUCCUGGAUUUGAUUCAGCACAAAUGACACCUUGUGUGGCCAGGGAUGUGGCACCCCAUGGAAGUCCCAGACCUUCAUCUCCUUGGGUUCCUCUGUCCUUGCUAAUCUCAGUCACCCCUGUAUGGGACCGGUGUGGGACAUGGCAGCGCCCUCCAUGGUUGUCCCCAGGGUGUUUUAUCACUGUCACCCCUUACAUUUGUUUCCAUGGCAGGAUGGAGGGUGCAAUUUUUUCCUGCCACUUAGCGAUUCAGAUCAGGAAGGAGCUCGCCGAGGUUGAUAUUGUCAUGGUCUGACGUUUCGGGAGCCGUCUGAAUAAAUUUCCCUUUAUUAGACACAAGGCUCCCAAUACUGCACCUUCUUCCUCAUUACUUGUGGCCAAGCACCUACAAAACCCAUCCCAGGCCCUGCUUUGCUAUUCAAAGUCCUGCUGGUGUGUACGAGAGCUGGGAGGGAACCCAGAGCCUCCUCCAGGGACCUCUGGGUGUCCGCUGCUGUCCCCAUCUCCUGCUGAGCACCACAAACCACCCCUGCGUGAUGACCUCCUGGUGCCUGCAAAGGAACCUGGGCUCCACGGGCUGGAAGACUUGCCUCCUUUUGCAAGGUUCCUGUGAGCUAUAUGUCGGUUACACUGUGGACUUGCAUCCUUCAAACAUAGCUCAGAGCUGUGGAUCGAAGCACACCCCAGAGAAUUCAUAUACAAAUGCCAUCUGGAGCGGGGAGUUCCCUGGGACAUCCACAAUGCUCAAACAAAUGGAUUUCGUUUGAUUUUGAUGGCAGUUAACGUGCUGCCAUUUUGCUCCCUUCUGCCUCUUUCCCUAAACCUCGGCCCUUGGCUAUGGGGAGGAUGUUCAGCCCUGGCCCACACAGGACUGAGCACCCCAGCAUGUUCUGUACGUGGGAUGCUCAGUGCAUGGGAUGCUCAGUGCACAGGACCCUCUGCAUAUGGGAUGCUCCCCACACAGGUUGCUCGGUGCCACCCCAGUCCUGGUGUCCCCAAAGCCAGGGGCUGUUUUACUGGGGGCUGUGACAGUCUUGUCCCUGCAGCUCCUAAUGCCAGGUCUUUCUCCCAGAGCCAAAAACAUCUACUUUGGAGUCCAUGAUAGAUACUUGGAAAGGGGAUAAAUAUCAUCAUUCUAUUUAAUCGCUCCUAACAGCGCUUCAGAAAUAAAAGGACAGACAGUGCUACGGUGCCCAGCCCAUGGCGAUGUCCCAGAAGCUGUGCACAAACCAAACCAGGCGACGAGAACUGUGUUUUCUUAACAGCCCAUUGCCCUUUCUGAAGGCCAGGUAUGCAGAUACAGCGCUUUUCCGGACGGGGACUUAUUCUGUGUUUGUCACUUUGACAAGGGAUGAUUGACAUUCAGAAUGAUGAUGGGACAAUUUGCCGUGAACUCACCGCACCUCUGCCAGGCAAAUACAUAAAAAAAAAAAAAAAAAAAAAAAA
This is a long non-coding RNA of Oxyura jamaicensis (ruddy duck), 2834 nucleotides long. RefSeq lists it as uncharacterized. The transcript is spliced from 2 exons. Lineage: Eukaryota; Metazoa; Chordata; Aves; Anseriformes; Anatidae. The record is from RefSeq and is a predicted model, not a curated record.